GGGAGGGAGAACCGGGAACAGCAACUGUCCCAGCGGAUGGGAAGGCAAUGUGGUAGAAAUUAUUAGAAGAAAAUGUUGAAAAAAAAGACAGGAAAGGCGGGAGAAAACGGAAUAAGGUGUUUACAUCACAAGUGAAGUAGAGAGAUAAGUGCUGUUUUCCUAUGAAAUACAGGUUACCCACAAAAUUACCUACAGAUCGCUCCCAAAUGUUUAAUAUUUUAUACACUGAAAGAACUCUGACCUGUUUGAAACCACAUACAAUCAGGAAUUAGUUGAGAAAGGAAGUCCUGGACCUGAGAGCAUUUGGCUGUUGAGUUUCCUCAGUCUUCUUUAAUCUGGAAGCUUUCUUCAAUCUUUGCUUGCCUGUCAUGACCUUGGCAUUUUGUCAAGGAGAUUGAGUAUCAUAAAUGUGAAGGUGUUCACCUGAGACAGAUCAGCCAACUGGAACUUCAACACAGGAUUUCAACCCAGGCUGUCCAGGCUUUUCCUGUCAUGUCAUACUGCCUUUUAAAACAGACAGUUGUUUGCAUUUGACAAAAAACUUCAUGAGGAACUGACAUGCCAGCACAGAUGAAGUGGGACAUAAACACCAUGCACAGAGGUACACAUCCAAUCCAAGAAGAGGAUGCAGACCAGACAAGGUCAGAAACAUUCCCCUUUGCCACAGAGCUAAGAAUGCAUCAGUCCCCUAGAGAGCAAAGAUUUAAAAAGUUAAUGCCAGACCCAUAAUGCGUAUUAUUUGUAUUUACAUGUAUACAUUAUUGUAUUUUAUUUGUAACAUGUCCAUGUGCUGCUAUCAUUCGGGUUUAUACAUUGAGUUAUUCUCAACAUUUCCUUUCGUUGUCUUUGUAUUGUCUUGAUGUAUUAUAAGGCCUUUAAUUUAAUUAAACCAGACGAACACAACUGACAAUUACAGCCAGGAAUUUGGAACCAGACAAAAGCAGAACGAUACCUUAAUAAGGCUAAUUCUUGACUAUGCUAGAAGUUACAAAUUCACUCAAAUUUUGAGCGCAUUUUAGAGCAAGGCAUUGUGGAAGAUACAAAAAUCAAUCAACUAUGGGUUCUGCCAUCAAAGACCUAGCAAUCUAGGAUGGGAGAUACAACACAUUUAGUAAAAAAGUUGUAAAAGAAUAUGUUGUGUCAUAUAUGAGACAGAGAUAAAAAGUGGCUAGAAAAGCGAGUUUCAGUUAUUACGGUUGCUAACAAGUUAUCCCAAGCCUCAGCAGUGUUAAAUACCUAUUUAUUAUUCUGUGGUUCAGGAAUUAGGACAGGGCACAGCAGGGACAGUUUGUCUCUGCUUCGUGAUGUCUGGGGCCUCAGCUGAUGACCUGAAUCUUGGGGGCUGGAAUCAUCUGAAGGCUCAUUUGUUUUCUUGUCUGGGAGCUGAUGCUGUAUAGACUCAAAGGACUGGUGAGCUGGAAUAGCUGGGGCUCCUCAGGCGUCCCUAUGUUUUGUGGUCUCUCCACCUGGUCUCUCCCUCAUGGCCUGUGUCUUGAGAGAGCAGCAGGUAGAAGCUGUACGGCCUUUUUGAACCCAGCUUUACUUCAAAUUCAUUUCUGCCACGUUCUGUUUGUUAGAAUCAAUUGACUAAGGCUGUCCCAUAUUUAAAGGGAAGGGAAUUAGACUCCACCUUUUGUAGGAGUAGUGUCAAAGAAUUUGUGGGCAUGUUUUAAAAUCAUCACACUGGGUGAAAAUCAGGAAAUUGAAUGGAUAUUGAAAAAUGAAUUUAAUAUGAAUGAGUAGAGGUAAGACAAAUGGAAGUCAACACAGGGAUCUACAUCAGCAGCAGGUAAACAACGCAUGAGCCGAACAGACUGGUUAGGCUAGGCAUUGGGAGUGUAGGAAAUAAGGCUGAAAACAUAGAUGGGGAUGAAGAUGUGCCAAGCUAAGGAGCAUGGAUUUGACUCAGCUGGGAACAGAACGCUAUUCAGUAGUGGUUUUCAACCUUGGUUGCCAUUGGAAUCAUCUGAGGAGCCUUAAAAUAACCAAUGCCUGGGUUCCACCCCCAGAGAUUCUAAUCUAGUUGUUCUGGAAUGGAGCCUAAGCAUCAGGACUUUUGAAAGCUUCCCAGGUGAUUCUUAUGUCAGCCAAGGUUGAGAACCAGUGCUCUGAAGGAUUUUGAGGAGAGAAGUGAUGUUAUCAGGAAUCAGUUUGCAUUCUUUCUCUGGGAAACCAAUGUCUUACUUAUUUUAACAUGGACUUUCAAAAGUUGAAGUUGACUUAUAUUUAUUCUUGGUUAAAUUCAAUCUAUCAAACUCUAUUGGACACAUACUAUAUGUCAGGUGUGGUUGGGCACAAAGAUGGAUAAGGACACCUCUUCUGCCUUGAUGGAGCUCCUGGGUGAGAGCGAGAUCAGUCACCUUCACCAAUCUCUGUGAUGCAAUAGGGUUUUGCUUUUCCCGGAUGUCUUCUGGAACUCCAUCCCUACCUGAGGCUUCCACGCUGGAUUACAGGCAUUCCUAGGCUCUCUCUUAACCACCACUCAUAGCUUGCAUCACUGUUUUAAUUGUUUGCUUUCUAUAUCCCCUCUGGAUAUGACUCUUCUAUGUCAAAAUUAUUCAUUGUAGAAUUCCCUAGCCCAAUGCCUGGCAUGAAAUAUUAAAUAAAAUAAUGAAUGUUUGGGAUAAACUAAUGUGACAUGAAUGUAGGGGACACGGUAGUCUGAGCCAGGUUGCAGAGGGCCUUAAGUGUGCUUCUAAAUGAGGUUACAGAUAUUAUCACGUGCUGGGCAGCAGGGAUCCAGUGACGACUUUGAGUGGUAAAAGGACGUGGUGCCUCUGGUGGCAAGUGGGGUGUGGACUGGAAUGGGGAAUGGCUGGCAGCUGGAAGACAUGGCCCUGAUCUCCCUCUCUGAGGGGAACUGAUGCAGUCAGUGUAUAGAGAUAGGAGUGUACUAGCCUGCAGCCUGGUUAUGGGCUGGGGGCGGGGGGAGGAGGGGACACAUUCUGAAUAAUAACAUCCUAUGGGAUUUCUAAGUUUGUGACCAAGCUGGCAUCUGCAUCUAGGUUACUGGGUUCUAGAACAUGGAGUGGAGGCAUAGGAAGGCCAAGAAUAGGAGGUCGGGAAGUGAGGACGUGAAAGAAUUCCCUGUGCUGAGCAGCAUGCAGCCACCAUGAAUAUUUACUGGAGGCAGCUUGCCUGUUAAGGGUAGUGACAGACUGGUGGGUAGAGAGAAGAGGGAGAAAUCAAAAAAGACUUUGGUUUGGGUAACCUGGUGAGUGCUGAUGCUUUAGCAGGUUAGGGAGAGGAGGAGGAGAGGAGAAGGAGCAGCAGCAGCUUGCUAGGGCUGCAAUCAGAUUGGACAACGAGGGAGGGAGGAAUAGGUGGCAGAUACUUCAUGGAUUUUCUUGAGUCCCAGUUGGGGAACUUAGACAAAAAAUCAAGAUUUUUCAUUGUGUUUUAAAUUUAAUCUGUGAGAAUCACUUUAUUUUACUCAUAAAAGCUUUUUUAUGAACAGCAAUGCCUUAGCUGUGUUCCUAGUUCUAAGAGAGCCUCUUCAAACUUUUUACACAAGUCUAGUUAAUUAGGGUCAGAUCAAGGAGGUCUGAGUCGAUGGGUUAAGCGUCUUCAGGUUGGUGAGUAAGAUCAGCCUCCUAGGGCAAAUGGUUUAAAUAUUUAAGCAAAUUUUUUUUCUA
This is a non-coding RNA of Equus caballus (horse), 3635 nucleotides long. NCBI's taxonomy places the organism in Eukaryota, Metazoa, Chordata, Mammalia, Perissodactyla, Equidae. The record is from RefSeq and is a predicted model, not a curated record.